CCCAGACUCCUACGGGAGGCAGCAGUGGGGGAUAUUGCACAAUGGGGGGAACCCUGAUGCAGCGACGCCACGUGAGUGAGGAAGUAUUUCGGUAUGUAAAGCUCUAUCAGCAGGGAAGAAAAUGACGGUACCUGACUAAGAAGCCCCGGCUAACUACGUGCCAGCAGCCGCGGUAAUACGUAGGGGGCAAGCGUUAUCCGGAUUUACUGGGUGUAAAGGGAGCGUAGACGGAAUAGCAAGUCUGAUGUGAAAACCCGGGGCUCAACUCCGGGAGUGCAUUGGAAACUGUUGAUCUAGAGUGUCGGAGAGGCAAGCGGAAUUCCUAGUGUAGCGGUGAAAUGCGUAGAUAUUAGGAGGAACACCAGUGGCGAAGGCGGCUUGCCGGACGAUGACUGACGUUGAGGCUCGAAAGCGUGGGGAGCAAACAGGAUUAGAUCCCCCAGUA
This 445-nucleotide ribosomal RNA is filed under the name uncultured bacterium. RNAcentral describes it as "bacterial SSU rRNA". It matches the Rfam family "Bacterial small subunit ribosomal RNA", at positions 330 to 792 of the family's 1533-position model. The record is from RNAcentral.